GUUUAGGGGUGGACUUGGCAGUGCUGGGGGAACGGUUGGACUUGAUGAUCUGAGAGGGCUUUUCCCACCCGAGCAAGGUCAUGAUUCCAUGAUUUUAAGGAGGAGAGGAGCUGUAGUUUGGCCAGAGCUUCACAGCACCUUCAAACUUCCCUCGUCUGAACCUCUUCUUCCUUCUUUGUCCCUUCAUCACGUCCUUCAGCACGACAUUCCCGGCUCCUUUCCUUUAGUUGUCAUUGUCAAAUGCAAUUAGUGGUAAUUAAAGGAGACAGAAAGUCCAUAAGAGUGUCCUGGAAGCAAGGGCAGGAGUUUGGGAAUGGUUGGUUGAGCGUAUGGGGCGACCAUCCUGUCCUUCCAUCCUCCAUCCCUUUGCCUUUGGCUGCACAAGACCCAGAGCUGGAAUAACCAGGAUGGUGUGGAAUGACCAGGAUGGUGUGGAAUGACCAGGAAGAUGUGGAAUGACCAGGAAGGUGUGGAAUGACCGGGAAGGUGUGGAAUGACCAGGAUGGUGUGGAAUGACCAGGAAGGUGUGGAAUGACCAGGAAGGUGUGGAACGACCAGGAAGGUGUGGAAUGACCAGGAUGGUGUGGAAUGACCAGUAAGGUGUGGAAUGACCAGGACGGUUGGAAUGAUCCAGGGAG
This is a long non-coding RNA of Neopelma chrysocephalum (saffron-crested tyrant-manakin), 638 nucleotides long. RefSeq lists it as uncharacterized. Lineage: Eukaryota; Metazoa; Chordata; Aves; Passeriformes; Pipridae. The transcript is spliced from 3 exons. The record is from RefSeq and is a predicted model, not a curated record.